GACGAACGCUGGCGGCGUGCUUAACACAUGCAAGUCGAACGGUGAAGGGAUCAGCUUGCUGGUUCUGGAUGAGUGGCGAACGGGUGAGUAACACGUGAGUAACCUGCCCCCUUCUUCUGGAUAACCUCAUGAAAGUGUGGCUAAUACGGGAUAUUCUGCGCCUGCUGCAUGGUGGGUGUGGGAAGGAUAUUGUUUCGUUGGGGGAUGGGCUCGCGGCCUAUCAGCUUGUUGGUGGGGUGAUGGCCUACCAAGGCGGUGACGGGUAGCCGGCCUGAGAGGGUGGACGGUCACACUGGGACUGAGACACGGCCCAGACUCGUACGGGAGGCAGCAGUGGGGAAUAUUGCACAAUGGGCGCAAGCCUGAUGCAGCGACGCCGCGUGAGGGAUGGAGGCCUUCGGGUUGUGAACCUCUUUCGCCAGUGAAGCAGGCCUGUCCAUUGUGGGUGGGUUGACGGUAGCUGGAUAAGAAGCGCCGGCUAACUACGUG
RNAcentral lists this ribosomal RNA (489 nucleotides) under uncultured bacterium. Its description in RNAcentral is "partial 16S ribosomal RNA". It matches the Rfam family "Bacterial small subunit ribosomal RNA", at positions 28 to 507 of the family's 1533-position model. The record is from RNAcentral.